RNAcentral lists this transfer RNA (72 nucleotides) under Capra hircus (goat). It matches the Rfam family "tRNA". From Rfam's summary of the family: Transfer RNA (tRNA) molecules are approximately 80 nucleotides in length. Their secondary structure includes four short double-helical elements and three loops (D, anti-codon, and T loops). Lineage: Eukaryota; Metazoa; Chordata; Mammalia; Artiodactyla; Bovidae. The record is from Rfam by way of RNAcentral. RNAcentral also lists the same sequence under 1 other name.
UCCAUUGUAGCUUAGUUGGUAAAGAAUCUGCCUGCAAUGCAGGAGACCCAGGUUUGAUUCCUGGGUAGGGAA